This is a long non-coding RNA of Empidonax traillii (willow flycatcher), 564 nucleotides long. RefSeq lists it as uncharacterized. The transcript has 4 exons. The record is from RefSeq and is a predicted model, not a curated record. Lineage: Eukaryota; Metazoa; Chordata; Aves; Passeriformes; Tyrannidae.
UGCCUUCCGAGGCAAGGCGUUCUGGAACUCCAUGAGGUUACAACGUGGACUCCUGCUACCUGGGCAUGGAAUGUUACGGAACUGUUGCCAUGGAGAGUCCCGCUCCAAGGGUUCUGGUGACCGGGAGUCUGUUAAGUCAGUUGACGGAUUCUCUGCUGGGCAUCGGACGCAGAGCAUCUGUCUUCUUCAUCCCAGGUGGGAUCAGAAGGCGAUUUCCUGACAUUUGUGAGAAAAACUCUGGACUGAGUGUACAGGUUUGGAAGAACAUCAUUCUCAGAUCCUGAGAAAUCAGAGCUUUGUAGCAGUGUGCUACCUAAAGGAACCCAAGGGAUUGAUUGCUGCAUCUUCCCUGACAUUCCUUUUCCCGUGUUUGUCCACUUGCUUUGCCAGUGGUUUUAGAUCACGAAACACCAUGAGCACAAGGCGGCAGAAGCGCCGUGGGGAACCAGAUGAUUCUGAACAAACUCAGAAACGAAGAAGGCUGGUGACUUCUAGUGCAGGUGGAACUUCAGAAGCAGAGCCAGUAGACCCCAGAGAAAGUGCUGUUGAAGAAGUCGUAGAUCU